This is a long non-coding RNA of Lates calcarifer (barramundi perch), 509 nucleotides long. RefSeq lists it as uncharacterized. Lineage: Eukaryota; Metazoa; Chordata; Actinopteri; Centropomidae. The transcript has 3 exons. The record is from RefSeq and is a predicted model, not a curated record.
GUCAAUCACAGUGUUUAUCUCACUGACGCUUGAUGUCGUCUCUUCUUCUGUCUGACCUGACGGGAGCUCAGUCAUCUGAAGAUCCUUCACUUCCUGUUUCUCUGCUGUAUACAGACAUCAGAGUCAGAGGUCAGAGACUCCGCCCCCCCUCAGCCUCCUACCUGAAGUAUCGCCCGGAUUGUCCCUCCAGACCAGGUGUCACAGCGCAGUAAACAGUGGUCUGACAGCCCUGAGUGGGAGUCUUCAUGAGCAGCAGGGAGGGGAGGCUCAGCAGCGCCCCCAGCAGGGGGAGCCAGCCCUGAACGUGACGACCCAGUUCGGUCCAGAUCACACCCGGGUGGAGACAGAACGUGGUCACUCCAGAACCUGGUACAGGACAGGUACAGAGAUCACAGCGAGUCCCAGUACAGCUCCACAUCUCAGCAGCAGACCCCCCCGGCCCUCCUCCCCCGGCUCCGUCUCCGGGUCCGACCCCCCGCUGCCCCCAGGCCACGGGAGCACCAGAAAAC